This 871-nucleotide non-coding RNA is filed under the name Ardeotis sp. Its description in RNAcentral is "partial 12S ribosomal RNA". It matches the Rfam family "Bacterial small subunit ribosomal RNA". Lineage: Eukaryota; Metazoa; Chordata; Aves; Otidiformes; Otididae. The record is from RNAcentral.
AAGAGACUUAGUCCUAACCUUACCGUUAAUUUUUGCCAAACAUAUACAUGCAAGUAUCCGCGUUCCAGUGUAAAUGCCCAAGCCCCCUUACAUAUUAGGCCAAAGGAGCGGGCAUCAGGCGCACCACUAGUAGUAGCCCAAGACGCCUUGCUUAGCCACACCCCCACGGGUAUUCAGCAGUAAUUAACAUUAAGCUAUAAGUGAAAACUUGACUUAGUUACGGCAACCUUUUUAAGGGCCGGUAAAUCUUGUGCCAGCCACCGCGGUCACACAAGAGGCCCAAAUUAACUGUACACGGCGUAAAGCGUGGUGACAUGUUAUCAUAACAACUAAGACCAAAAUGUAACUAAGCUGUCAUAAGCUCAAGAUACACUUAAAAUCACCCUCAAAACGAUCUUAGCACUAUCUGAUCGAUUACACCCCCACGAAAGCUAAGGAACAAACUGGGAUUAGAUACCCCACUAUGCUUAGCCCUAAAUCCUGAUACUUACUCCACCCAUGUAUCCGCCCGAGAACUACGAGCACAAACGCUUAAAACUCUAAGGACUUGGCGGUACCCCAAACCCACCUAGAGGAGCCUGUUCUAUAAUCGAUAACCCACGAUACACCCAACCACUUCUUGCACAAGACAGCCUACAUACCGCCGUCGCCAGCUCACCCCACUGAGGGUGCAACAGUGAGCAUAAUAGCCCCUCCCGCUAGCAAGACAGGUCAAGGUAUAGCCUACGAAGUGGAAGAAAUGGGCUACAUUUUCUAGAAUAGAAAAUUCUACGAAAGGGAGUAUGAAACUACUCCCGGAAGGCGGAUUUAGUAGUAAAGUGGGAUAAUCAAGCCCUCUUUAAACCGGCCCUGGGGUACGUACAUACCGCCC